CCUGCAAAAAAUUGUGCGACUAAUCUCUAAAGAGAGUAUUCCGGGACUAGUCUCGAUGUGGAACAAUUGAGUAUUAAUUAGUCGCAACUAGUCUCAAACGGGUAUAAUUGGAGAUCAAUUAGUCUCAAUUAAUCCCUAUCGGGUACUAUUGGGAAAAAAGUUAGAAUUUUGGCAAAAAUACAUUCAUAAAUUUCAAAGCAAAGUUACUGAAUUUCCUUCAAUUCAAUUAUCAUAACCUAUUACAUUUAAAAAAAACCAUAAGUAAUGAAUUUCGUACAUGUAGGACAAUAAUAAAAAUGGUCAAAUAGUUAUCAACAAGUUUGACUAUUGUGAAUGGUAUUUACAUGGCAAUUGUCAAAAUCAAUUGUUUGACAGCAGCCACUUGAAAUAACGAAGCGCAAAAUAUUUAGUUUUUUGGCUUUGUUAUAUAGAUUAUGGAAUAAAGAAAACGCAUUGAAGAAUAAUAACUAAGGGAUUUAAAGUCAAUAGAGGUUAUUAGUGUGUUGCUGAAAUUUGAGAACCCAUGUGCUGCUGUAAUGGAUUCUACUAAUGUGCAAGUGGUUUCAUUUGACGACGAACAAAUAAUUGCUGUUGGCCGGGCUCUCAGAGCUGUAGCGGACGAAGUUUUCGAAGAACCCAAACAGGAACUCGUUUUAUAGGAAUCUGCGAUGUCUGCUAUUUUAUGCAACAAUCUCAGAAAUAUAAGGCUGCUGUUAAAUAAGGACGUCAUAGCGUCAAUAAACGUGGAUGGUUCACAUGGAAAGAUAAGCUUAAAAUCUUUCCCAAAUUUUUAUGCUUCAUUGACUGGUAAGAUAAAUAUUCCAUACCAUUGUUUUACACAUAUGUAUGUUUUUAUUUCAAGUUAAAUUAAAUCUUCUUUUCAUUUAGGAGCCCUUGCUAAAUUACCAUUUAAGGGAUUGUCGCCGGAGGACGCGCUGCGCAAAGCCAUUGCUUUCGAAAAAGCUAAAUGCUUUAAGAAAGCUUUUGUUCACGCGUUAUAUGAAAGCAAGAAAUCAACGCGAACUUUUUGAGUGGAGUACAAAACUGCGUAAACGAUUUUUUUUAAGAUACAUUUUUUUAAAUUUUGAUGAUAAUUUCUUUCAUGAGUUUUGCAAAAAUUUUGAUUUGUCAGAUUUAUGUUAGAGAAGCUGUAUUUAAAGUGUUUAAAGUCAAUUAAAUAAAAAUACAUAUUUUAAAACGAA
Long non-coding RNA from Bactrocera dorsalis (oriental fruit fly), 1202 nucleotides. RefSeq lists it as uncharacterized. The record is from RefSeq and is a predicted model, not a curated record. Lineage: Eukaryota; Metazoa; Arthropoda; Insecta; Diptera; Tephritidae. The transcript has 2 exons.